This 429-nucleotide ribosomal RNA is filed under the name uncultured bacterium. RNAcentral describes it as "bacterial SSU rRNA". It matches the Rfam family "Bacterial small subunit ribosomal RNA", at positions 355 to 776 of the family's 1533-position model. The record is from RNAcentral.
UGAGGAAUCUUGCGCAAUGGGCGAAAGCCUGACGCAGCGACGCCGCGUGGAGGAUGAAGGCCUUCGGGUUGUAAACUUCUGUUAAGUGGGAAGAAAUACCGAUUUUUAAUAAAAGUCGGGGAUGACGGUACCAUUAGAGAAAGCACCGGCUAAUCUCGUGCCAGCAGCCGCGGUAAUACGAGAGGUGCAAGCGUUAUUCGGAAUUACUGGGUGUAAAGGGUGUGUAGGCGGUUUGCCAAGUCCAUCGUCAAAUCUUAUGGCCUAACCAUGAGUUCGCGGUGGAAACUGGUUUACUUGAGGAAGGAAGAGAGAGGUGGAAUUCUCGGAGUAGCGGUAAAAUGCGUAGAUCUCGAGAGGAACACCAAUGGCGAAGGCAGCCUCUUUGGCCUUUUCUGACGCUGAGACACGAAAGCGUGGGGAGCAAACAGG